This 497-nucleotide ribosomal RNA is filed under the name uncultured bacterium. Its description in RNAcentral is "partial 16S ribosomal RNA". It matches the Rfam family "Bacterial small subunit ribosomal RNA", at positions 28 to 507 of the family's 1533-position model. The record is from RNAcentral.
GAUGAACGCUGGCGGCGUGCCUAAUACAUGCAAGUCGAGCGAACAGACGAGGAGCUUGCUCCUCUGACGUUAGCGGCGGACGGGUGGGUAACACGUGGAUAACCUACCUAUAAGACUGGGAUAACUUCGGGAAACCGGAUCUAAUACUGGAUAAUAUAUUGAACCGCAUGGUUCAAUAGUGAAAGACGGUUUUGCUGUCACUUAUAGAUGGAUCCGCGCCGCAUUAGCUAGUUGGUAAGGUAACGGCUUACCAAGGCUACGAUGCGUAGCCGACCUGAGAGGGUGAUCAGCCACACUGGAACUGAGACACGGUCCAGACUCCUACGGGAGGCAGCAGUGGGGAAUCUUGCGCAAUGGGCGAAAGCCUGACGGAGCAACGCCGCGUGAGUGAUGAAGGUCUUCGGAUCGUAAAGCUCUGUUAUUGGGGAAGAACAAAUGUGUAAGUAACUAUGCACGUCUUGACGGUACCUAAUCAGAAAGCCACGGCUAACUACGUG